CAGCUGCCUUCAUAAUGCCUGGGUCGGAGAGCCUCCGCGAAGCCUGGGGAGGGCGGGGCAGGGCCGUCAGCUGCCCUUACCCGACACUUACAGACGCUGAGCACCGGGUCACAUACCGCUGGGGGGCGAGCCCAGACUGAGCCCCGAUGUGAGAGGGACUCAACGGUGUCUUCGCCGACGCCCUCGGAGAGACCCUCCGCCGGGUUGGGGUCCGGAGCGACUGCGCUCCACAGCCCGGCUUCUGUGACGACUGCCGGCCCGCGGCCGCCACCGACAGCUUCCGGGUCGAUGUCGGCGUAUCGGGGCAUGCUGGGAGAGCUACCGCGCGCCCCGAGGCGCGGCGCAGCGCGGCGCCCCCUGGUGGCGAGUAGUAUUCCAUUGUAUGGAUAUGUCAUCAUGUGCUUAUUCAUACACCUGUUGAUGGACGUUGGAUUUUUUAAUGUUUUUUAAUGUUUACAACUAUGAAAUAAAACUGCCGUGAACUUU
Long non-coding RNA from Suricata suricatta (meerkat), 486 nucleotides. RefSeq lists it as uncharacterized. NCBI's taxonomy places the organism in Eukaryota, Metazoa, Chordata, Mammalia, Carnivora, Herpestidae. The transcript is spliced from 2 exons. The record is from RefSeq and is a predicted model, not a curated record.